GACAGAGGUGCCGAGCGUUAGGCGGAAUCACUGGGCUUAAAGCGUGUGUAGGCGGCCCGUUAAGUGUCUUGUGAAAUCCCCCGGCUCAACCGGGGAAUGGCUGGGCAUACUGGCGAUCUUGAGCAGUCUAGGGGCAGAUGGAACAAGUGGUGGAGCGGUGAAAUGCGUAGAUAUCACUUGGAACGCCAAAGGUGAAAACAGUCUGCUGGGGACUUGCUGACGCUGAGACACGAAAGCCAGGGGAGCGAACGGG
RNAcentral lists this ribosomal RNA (253 nucleotides) under uncultured bacterium. RNAcentral describes it as "partial 16S ribosomal RNA". It matches the Rfam family "Bacterial small subunit ribosomal RNA", at positions 524 to 776 of the family's 1533-position model. The record is from RNAcentral.